This is an RNA transcript of Megachile rotundata (alfalfa leafcutting bee), 1048 nucleotides long. It is a transcript of the gene named cap binding protein 20, with no coding region annotated. Lineage: Eukaryota; Metazoa; Arthropoda; Insecta; Hymenoptera; Megachilidae. The record is from RefSeq and is a predicted model, not a curated record.
CGCCACAUGCGAAACAACUAUGUUCUCUCGCUGAAUAAGCUAUAUAUGCAUUGUAUGUUCAAUGUUCAUAUGUUGUAUACAGGUAAUAAUGACAAAUUGUGACAAAUGUGUAGCAGUGUUUAAAUUGAGCAUUUUGAAUUCUGAUAAAGUUAAUAAAAAAAACAGUUUCAUAUAUAUUUGUGGAAAUAACUGAUAUGGCAGCAAUAAAGGUCAAUCCAUCAAGUUCACCUUCUGUUGAAUUAAGUUCUUAUCGUGAUCAACAUUUUAAGGGUUCAAGGGCUGAACAAGAUAGGUUGUUAAGAAAUUCUACAACCUUAUAUGUUGGAAAUCUGUCUUUUUAUACUACAGAAGAACAAAUAUAUGAACUAUUUUCCAAAUGUGGUGAUAUUAGGAGAAUUAUAAUGGGUUUAGACAAAUACAAGAAGACUCCUUGUGGUUUUUGUUUUGUUGAGUAUUAUCAAAGAAGUGAUGCUGAAAACUGUAUGCGAUAUAUUAAUGGAACGCGUUUAGAUGAUAGAAUAAUCAGGACAGAUUGGGAUGCUGGUUUUAUCGAAGGCAGACAAUAUGGAAGAGGAAAAACUGGAGGACAAGUAAGGGACGAAUAUAGAUCAGACUUUGAUAGUGGAAGAGGAGGUUAUGGUAAAAUAAUACAACAGAAAGUAACACCUAUUUCGGAUGGAGCAUUUGGACGUUAAGAUUUUGUAACGCAAUUUAUGACAUACAUCCUUCGUCAACGAUAGCGAAUCUAUGGCAUGUGUUCCAUUGGUAAUCCGUACAAAAAUUUUGAUGGCACCUCAACGAUUUACAGAUGUUACGCGAUAAAAUAAGUCAAAUUAACCCCCAAUUAAAAUUGUUUUAAUUUUGAAAAAAAUGUAUCUUUCGAGUUCUACAGGUUAUAUUAAUAAGGAAAUAACGACAAACAAAUGUUUCUUAUUGUAAAUGUUUAUUUAGAGAAAACAACAUAGUAUUCCAAAUUUGUAUUAUUUUGGAAAGACAACAAUAAACUGUAAUUACGAACGAUAAUAAAUAUUUUCAAUAAUUUCGUUAA